Molecule: ribosomal RNA, 465 nt
Filed under: uncultured bacterium
Lineage: Bacteria
Description: partial 16S ribosomal RNA
Rfam family: Bacterial small subunit ribosomal RNA
Source: RNAcentral
GACGAACGCUGGCGGCGUGCUUAACACAUGCAAGUCGAACGGAAAGGCCCUGCUUGCAGGGUACUCGAGUGGCGAACGGGUGAGUAACACGUGGGUGAUCUGCCCUGCACUUCGGGAUAAGCUUGGGAAACUGGGUCUAAUACCGGAUAGGAGCCAUCUUUAGUGUGGUGGUUGGAAAGUUUUUUCGGUGUAGGAUGAGCUCGAGGCCUAUCAGCUUGUUGGUGGGGUAAUGGCCUACCAAGGCGGCGACGGGUAGCCGGCCUGAGAGGGUGUACGGCCACAUUGGGACUGAGAUACGGCCCAGACUCCUACGGGAGGCAGCAGUGGGGAAUAUUGCACAAUGGGCGCAAGCCUGAUGCAGCGACGCCGCGUGGGGGAUGAAGGCCUUCGGGUUGUAAACUCCUUUCGCUAGGGACGAAGCUUUGUGUGACGGUACCUAGAUAAGAAGCACCGGCUAACUACGUG